UGAGGAAUAUUGGUCAAUGGGCGCAAGCCUGAACCAGCCAUCCCGCGUGCAGGAAGACGGCCCUAUGGGUUGUAAACUGCUUUUCCAGGGGGAGAAUUUUUCUGUCGUGACAGGAAUUGACGGUACCCUGGGAAUAAGUAUCGGCUAACUCCGUGCCAGCAGCCGCGGUAAUACGGAGGAUGCGAGCGUUAUCCGGAUUUAUUGGGUUUAAAGGGUGCGUAGGCGGAUUGAUAAGUCAGUGGUGAAAACCUGCAGCUUAACUGUAGACUUGCCGUUGAUACUGUCAGUCUUGAGUGUGGUCAAGGUAGGCGGAAUGUGUAAUGUAGCGGUGAAAUGCUUAGAUAUUACACAGAACACCGAUUGCGAAGGCAGCUUACUGGGCCAUUACUGACGCUGAUGCACGAAAGCUUGGGGAUCGAACA
This 422-nucleotide ribosomal RNA is filed under the name uncultured bacterium. RNAcentral describes it as "bacterial SSU rRNA". It matches the Rfam family "Bacterial small subunit ribosomal RNA", at positions 355 to 774 of the family's 1533-position model. The record is from RNAcentral.